This 468-nucleotide ribosomal RNA is filed under the name uncultured bacterium. RNAcentral describes it as "partial 16S ribosomal RNA". It matches the Rfam family "Bacterial small subunit ribosomal RNA", at positions 28 to 507 of the family's 1533-position model. The record is from RNAcentral.
GACGAACGCUGGCGGCGUGUUUAACACAUGCAAGUCGAACGGAAAGGCCCUGCUUUUGUGGGGUGCUCGAGUGGCGAACGGGUGAGUGACACGUGAGUAACCUGCCCUUGACUUUGGGAUAACUUCAGGAAACUGGGGCUAAUACCGGAUAGGAGCUCCUGCUGCAUGGUGGGGGUUGGAAAGUUUCGGCGGUUGGGGAUGGACUCGCGGCUUAUCAGCUUGUUGGUGGGGUAGUGGCUUACCAAGGCUUUGACGGGUAGCCGGCCUGAGAGGGUGACCGGCCACAUUGGGACUGAGAUACGGCCCAGACUCCUACGGGAGGCAGCAGUGGGGAAUAUUGCACAAUGGGCGGAAGCCUGAUGCAGCAACGCCGCGUGCGGGAUGACGGCCUUCGGGUUGUAAACCGCUUUCGCCUGUGACGAAGCGUGAGUGACGGUAAUGGGUAAAGAAGCACCGGCUAACUACGUG